GGACUACUGGGGUAUCUAAUCCUGUUUGCUCCCCACGCUUUCGUGCAUGAGCGUCAGUAUUGACCCAGGGGGCUGCCUUCGCCAUCGGUAUUCCUCCACAUCUCUACGCAUUUCACUGCUACACGUGGAAUUCUACCCCCCUCUGCCAUACUCGAGCCUUGCAGUCACCAAUGCAGUUCCCAGGUUGAGCCCGGGGAUUUCACAUCGGUCUUACAAAACCGCCUGCGCACGCUUUACGCCCAGUAAUUCCGAUUAACGCUUGCACCCUACGUAUUACCGCGGCGGCUGGCAC
This 292-nucleotide ribosomal RNA is filed under the name uncultured bacterium. Its description in RNAcentral is "partial 16S ribosomal RNA". RNAcentral also lists the same sequence under 1 other name. The record is from RNAcentral.